Molecule: ribosomal RNA, 605 nt
Filed under: bacterium enrichment culture
Lineage: Bacteria
Description: bacterial SSU rRNA
Rfam family: Bacterial small subunit ribosomal RNA
Source: RNAcentral
UCGAGCGGCAGCGCGUCUAGUUUACUAGAUGGCGGCGAGCGGCGGACGGCUGAGUAACGCGUGGGAACAUGCCCCAAAGUGAGGGAUAACGCACCGAAAGGUGUGCUAAUACCGCAUAUGGUCUUCGGAUUAAAGGAUUUAUCCGCUUUGGGAGUGGCCCGCGUACGAUUAGAUUGUUGGUGAGGUAACGGCUCACCAAGUCGACGAUCGUUAACUGGUCUGAGAGGAUGAUCAGUCAGACUGGGACUGAGACACGGCCCAGACUCCUACGGGAGGCAGCAGUAGGGAAUUUUCCACAAUGGGCGAAAGCCUGAUGGAGCAACGCCGCGUGCAGGAUGAAUGCCUUCGGGUUGUAAACUGCUUUUAUAUGUGACGAAUAUGACGGUAGCAUAUGAAUAAGGAUCGGCUAACUCCGUGCCAGCAGCCGCGGUCAUACGGAGGAUCCAAGCGUUAUCCGGAAUUACUGGGCGUAAAGACUUGCGUAGGCGGCAUAGUAAGCAGAUAGUGAAAGCGUGUGGCUCAACCAUACUCACAUUAUCUGAACUGCUAAGCUAGAGGACGAGAGAGGUCACUGGAAUUCCUAGUGUAGGAGUGAAAUCCGUAGA